GUCCGUCCUGCAUCUGCCCCUCGUGGGUCCUCAGCUUCCACCAUUUGAGUGGAAUGAGAAUCUCUCCGGUUUCUCCUGUCAUAUGCAGAGAAGCGAAUGUCAUCGUGAGUACGUCGCACACACACAGUGCAGGCACAAACCUCAUCGCACAUCUGGUGCUCAGGUGGUCUGAGCAGAAUGGACACGGAACGGCUCCCCCAGAGAAGUUCCAGCAGAGGGAAGAAAGGCAGGCACUGAAUAGGAACUAAGCGGCCACUUCAUCCUGGGAGCUGUGGGGAACAGCAUGGCCGAACGGUGGUGGAGGUCAGCCUGGCCUGAGGCCUCCCAUGGGUGUGGGUCAGGGCCACCAACCAGCACCAGGACCAACACAAAGAAAGUAUUCCCUCAAGAUUCCAACUGAAGCCAUAGUGUCAAGUAAGGCCUUUGGCUCGUCAUCACACAGAUGGGACAACUGGUAAAAAGGAAGGGAAUCAAAGCCCAAGUGACUCCUGAGAACAAGAUCCUCAGUUGGCCUUGACAGUUUUGUUUUUUAAGUGAUAAAUCUGGCCACUUAGAAGGUCUUAGAAGGUCUUAAAUACCUAACAGGUGGAGAGCCCACCCGGAAGGACCAAUACAAUGCAGGGAUGGAUGGAGAGCCCACUGUAAGGACCAGUAUGAUGCAGAAAUGCAUGGAGACCCCACCUGGAAGGGCCGGUACGAUGCAGGGGUAGAUGGAGACCCACCCGGCAGGUAAAACAGACCUACAAGAUCACUUUAAGGCUGGUACCAAGUCUGGGAUCCAUACCUCACAAGAUUCCCUAGGCCAGGUAUGCAGAGAUCAGAGGACAACUUUGGGGUGAUGUUCAGGGAUGCCAUGUGCCUCCCUUGGCAUGGAGGUCACAAAUUGUCCAGGGAAUCCCAGAGACCAUCAGCCUUCAGUUUUGAGAUGACAGGACUGUAUUUGCCACACCAAGAAAUUUUCUGUGGAUGUUGGGGUUCAAACUCAUGCUUGCAAAGCAAGUCUUUUAUUGACUGAGUCGUUUCCCCAACUCUGCAGCGGGCUCUUUAGUUGUGCAGGUGGCUCUAAAAUGCAGAGGUAAAUCUUUUUGAUUCUAGCAUGCCUAAAUAACUCAGAAUCUCAGGGAGUGCUAGUUAGAACCAUGAACUUGGGUCAGAGUCCAGGCCUCUGAGGUCCUGACAUUGGAGACACACACACACACACACACACACUCACUCUGCUUUUCCAGGCCCCACAUGCUAAGCGUCAGAGUAAACAGUUAAUGCAUGGUUGGAAGGAUGGUGGUUCCUGCCAGGCUCGUACACCUGUAAAGGAGACACACACACAGCUGGACACUUGGCAGUCGCAGUGAGGUACCCCAGGACACCUAACCACGGCAGUUCCUGACAGGGACAGAUGGCUCCCAGUAGUUCAGUGAACAGCUCUAAGUGGCAGGGACAAUGCUGGGCUUCGGUCAUCACCGCAGUGGAACGGCAGCUUCUGAUUGCAGGGUGACAGACCAAACGUUACCUGGCUGUGUGGGAAGGCGAUGAGGACCAGAGCGUGACUGGAGACAACACAAUUCUACAUGAUGGGAGAUUUGGACGGCCACAGGUCAAAACCUGAGUGGAGAAGACUGGAGUGGGUGCUGCUAAUGCCUGCUUCCCCUCAGCCCCAGCUUUGUUCCCCACAGGUAGGUGAAGGGAACACCACUGCCAUCCCGUCUUCCAGUCCAUGCUCACUGGCUCCUUCCAGAUCAUCCGAGUCUCCUCAAGGUUUCUAUGGCUUUCCCUCACCACCCCAGUGCAGCCUAUAGCCUUGGGCUGAGGUCACACCCUGUGUACGCCUGCAUUUUGCUUGACCCGAGUCAUGUUUCCCCAACUGAGCAAUGUGACAACCACCAUCCCUUCUCUCUAGGGCUGCUGCAGGCCAGAGAACGGACUGGAAAAUGACCAGAAAUGACAAAGCCCUUAGGACAGGCAUGAGGGUGAGAUUGGCUACUUUAUUAGGAAAUGGUCAUACCCUGGGCUGAGGUUUGCCUUUGUAAAAAGCUAUAGGGACGCAAGAAGGCCCAGAAUCCCAAAGCCCAUUCGCUACCACAGGCCUCAGAACAAACCACACCUGGAACCCUAAGGAGCCAACCAUGAAUACAUGGAACCUCUUGUGUUUCACAGUCACCCGCAGGGCCUCGCUGGGCCCCUGUACAGACUCCCCGCACCCAAGAGCAUGCCUUGGGAUGGGACAAGACCCUCCAGCUGUAGGGAUGCUGAGCCCUGAGCCCUGCCCGCUGUCUUCAGCUG
Alexandromys fortis (reed vole) is the source of this 2277-nucleotide long non-coding RNA. RefSeq lists it as uncharacterized. The transcript has 4 exons. Lineage: Eukaryota; Metazoa; Chordata; Mammalia; Rodentia; Cricetidae. The record is from RefSeq and is a predicted model, not a curated record.